Molecule: non-coding RNA, 151 nt
Organism: Coniosporium apollinis CBS 100218
Lineage: Eukaryota; Fungi; Ascomycota; Dothideomycetes
Source: the annotation of a RefSeq genome assembly
GGUCGCUUAGCUCAGUUGGUUAGAGCGUGGUGCUAAUAUCACAUGAUAUAAAACGCCAAGGUAUGUUCUCCCCCUCUGGUUCCUCUCUCCGCACAAAAACCUUGAGGAACUAACAGGCGUUAGGUCGCGAGUUCGACCCUCGUAGUGACCA